This 253-nucleotide ribosomal RNA is filed under the name uncultured bacterium. Its description in RNAcentral is "partial 16S ribosomal RNA". It matches the Rfam family "Bacterial small subunit ribosomal RNA", at positions 524 to 776 of the family's 1533-position model. The record is from RNAcentral.
UAUGUAGGCAGCGAGCGUUGUUCGGAAUUACUGGGCGUAAAGAGUGUGUAGGCGGUGUUCCAAGUCUGGUGUGAAAUCUCCCGGCUCAACUGGGAGGGUGCGCCGGAAACUGGAAUGCUAGAGGGUGGGAGAGGUAAGCGGAAUUCCCGGUGUAGCGGUGAAAUUCGUAGAUAUUCGGAAGAACACCAGUGGCGAAGGCGGCUCACUGGACUGGUAUUGACGCUGAGGUGCGAAAGCGUGGGGAGCAAACAGG